AGUGAACGCUGGCGGCAGGCCUAACACAUGCAAGUCGAGCGGCAGCGCGGGGCAACCUGGCGGCGAGCGGCGGACGGGUGAGGAAUGCAUCGGAAUCUACCCUGUCGUGGGGGAUAACGUAGGGAAACUUACGCUAAUACCGCAUACGACCGAGAGGUGAAAGUGGGGGACCGCAAGGCCUCACGCGAUUGGAUGAGCCGAUGCCGGAUUAGCUAGUUGGUGGGGUAAAGGCCCACCAAGGCGACGAUCCGUAGCUGGUCUGAGAGGAUGAUCAGCCACACUGGGACUGAGACACGGCCCAGACUCCUACGGGAGGCAGCAGUGGGGAAUAUUGGACAAUGGGCGCAAGCCUGAUCCAGCCAUGCCGCGUGUGUGAAGAAGGCCUUCGGGUUGUAAAGCACUUUGUUCGGGAAGAAAUCGUGCGGAUUAAUACUUCGUACGGAUGACGGUACCGAAAGAAUAAGCACCGGCUAACUUCGUGCCAGCAGCCGCGGUAAUACGAAGGGUGCAAGCGUUACUCGGAAUUCACUGGGCGUAAAGGCGUGCGUAGGCGGUUGGUUAAGUCUGCUGUGAAAGCCCUGGGCUCAACCUGGGGAACUGCAGUGGAUACUGGCUAGCUAGAGUGUGAUAGAGGAUGGUGGAAUUCCCCGGUGUAGCGGUGAAAUGCGUAGAGAUCGGGAGGAACACCAGUGGCGAAGGCGGCCCAUCUGGAUCAACACUGACGCUGAGGCACGAAAAGCGUGGGGGAGCAAACAGGAUUAGAUACCCUGGUAG
RNAcentral lists this ribosomal RNA (774 nucleotides) under uncultured bacterium. RNAcentral describes it as "bacterial SSU rRNA". It matches the Rfam family "Bacterial small subunit ribosomal RNA", at positions 28 to 793 of the family's 1533-position model. The record is from RNAcentral.